Molecule: ribosomal RNA, 500 nt
Filed under: uncultured bacterium
Lineage: Bacteria
Description: partial 16S ribosomal RNA
Rfam family: Bacterial small subunit ribosomal RNA
Source: RNAcentral
AUUGAACGCUGGCGGCAUGCCUUACACAUGCAAGUCGAACGGCAGCGCGGACUUCGGUCUGGCGGCGAGUGGCGAACGGGUGAGUAAUACAUCGGAACGUACCCUGUUGUGGGGGAUAACUAGUCGAAAGAUUAGCUAAUACCGCAUACGACCUGAGGGUGAAAGUGGGGGACCGCAAGGCCUCACGCAGCAGGAGCGGCCGAUGUCUGAUUAGCUAGUUGGUGGGGUAAAGGCCCACCAAGGCGACGAUCAGUAGCUGGUCUGAGAGGACGAUCAGCCACACUGGGACUGAGACACGGCCCAGACUCCUACGGGAGGCAGCAGUGGGGAAUUUUGGACAAUGGGGGCAACCCUGAUCCAGCAAUGCCGCGUGUGUGAAGAAGGCCUUCGGGUUGUAAAGCACUUUAGUUGGGGAAGAGAUUACAGAGUUUAAGAGAUACUGUAUGAGACAUGAACCAAAGAAUAAGCACCGGCUAACUCCGUGCCAGCAGCCGCGGUAA